CUGGUGCCCAUAGCGGAGGGGAAACACCCGGUCCCAUUCCGAACCCGGAAGUUAAGCCCUCCAGCGCCGAAGAUACUCACGAGGGAACUCGUGGGGAAAAUAGGUCGGUGCCAGGA
RNAcentral lists this ribosomal RNA (116 nucleotides) under Bacillota bacterium. The record is from RNAcentral. Lineage: Bacteria; Bacillati; Bacillota.